CCUACGGGCGGCUGCAGUAGGGAAUCUUCCACAAUGGACGAAAGUCUGAUGGAGCAACGCCGCGUGAGUGAAGAAGGGUUUCGGCUCGUAAAGCUCUGUUGGUAGUGAAGAAAGAUAGAGGUAGUAACUGGCCUUUAUUUGACGGUAAUUACUUAGAAAGUCACGGCUAACUACGUGACAGCAGCCGCGGUAAUACGUAGGUGGCAAGCGUUGUCCGGAUUUAGUGGGCGUAAAGCGAGUGCAGGCGGUUCAAUAAGUCUGAUGUGAAAGCCCUCGGCUCAACCGGAGAAUUGCAUCAGAAACUGUAGAACUUGAGUGCAGAAGAGGAGAGUGGAACUCAAGGUGUAGCGGUGGAAUGCGUAGAUAUAUGGAAGAACACCAGUGGCGAAGGCGGCUCUCUGGUCUGCAACUGACGCUGAGGCUCGAAAGCAUGGGUAGCGAACAGGAUUAGAUACCCUUGUAGUC
This 465-nucleotide ribosomal RNA is filed under the name uncultured bacterium. RNAcentral describes it as "partial 16S ribosomal RNA". It matches the Rfam family "Bacterial small subunit ribosomal RNA", at positions 338 to 795 of the family's 1533-position model. The record is from RNAcentral.